UUGUAUCUAUCUGGUUCAUGUUUUCUUUUCUGGGAAAUUAAACAUUGUUAGUACUUUUAUAUGUAUUAUAUAAUACUUUUGUUAUGCAUUUAUAAGCAAAAAAAGAAAAUGUGGUCUUAUAUUCCCAUUUUUAUGCAAUGGGGCAUAUUAUCUACAUUGUAAUUUAGUGUGUUGUUGUUGUUGUUGUUGUUGUUUUAAUUUACCACAGAGAGUUUCUGAGUGCUCCAUUACAGCUCUGGUUCCUGUAUAUAAAUGUACUUUAGUUUAACCAGUCCUGCACUCAUGGACAUUCAGGUUGUUUCUUUUCUUCGUAAACAAGUGUGCGAUGAAAACCCCUCUACAGAUGUCAUUGCUCCCACGUAGUAGUAAUGCUAGGAUAAAUUCUGGCUUCCCGGCUAUGAAUUCAAUAGUUUGUGCCAGGGUGUGUUAGAGAAGGCUUCUCACAAAGCUUUUAUAUUUUUGAACAUCAAUUUGAGUCAAUGAAAUUGGGCAGAGAGACAUGACCAGAACAGUUUUAAAUGUUUGGGUGAGAUUCUCCGGUAGCAUUUAAAACUGCAUCACGGUGUACAGACCUGAUGGUUUUUACCACUGCCUGGGGCAGAGCAGCGUUUGUGUUCUAGGCGUGAUGUCUUGGUUUCCACGGCUGGACACCUGGGGGCUGACGCUGAGAAGUGGGCUUCCUCCUCUCGUGAAACUCCAGUCCUCAGGCCUCGCAGAAAGCCUGCAGGAAAAAAGGGGCUGGUGUGUGGACAGCCUGGGCUCCGCUGAAGCAGUCCCUUCCCCCACCCCACCCCUGUCUCUCUGGGUAGCUGGGGUUGGCACCCCGACCCUUAACUGCAUCUGAAGUUGAACCAGCCCCCAGGCAAAGCACAAAUGGAAAAGCCACUAGGGGCCAGGACACUUGUGAGACUGAACCGCAGUCACUCUUGGGCAGUGGACGUUUUCCAGAGUGUGCCUUAGCAAAAAGGACUCAAGCUCAUUCUGGAGUGAUCUUAGUAACGUUCUUAAUACAGUUUGGGGCCCUAGACAAUUAUCUAAAUGUUGAAAGAAUAUACAUGCCCUGACAUAUUUAACAGUUUCAAAAUAUGGGAAUGGGACUUUUAUGAGCACAAAUGCCAUUUGGUUACCCAGAGCUAGAGCAACGACAAUAGAAUAAAGGAAGUGCUCAGGUGCCAGUCUCCCUUGAGGACCUAAGCCGCCUGAGUCCCUGGCAACAAGCUAGGGGGACAGCAUACAUUGUCGCGCUGGUAUGUCCAAAAAAAUCAGCUGCUCUCCGGAAUUUGAAGCCACCGUGGUGUAAGAAAAGCCUUUAACAACAUUUAUUGAAUUACAAUCAGUGAAAAAUCAUAAUGGAUUGGAUAGCCUAAUAAGGAGUCUGCAGACCCAGCUCAACUUUUAAACACUUAAAAAAGAUAUUGGCAGAUUCAUAACAUGAUGUAAAUAUGUGAUUUUAAAAUAUACUUUCUAUCCACUGAGAAACCAGGAAUUGAGCCAGACACUAUUACUAGCAAUACUUUCAGUGGAGUUGUAAGUUAAAUUUUUUUAAAAUCUUGAUAAUACAGUGAAAAAAUAUUAGUUCACUAAAGAGCCAAAUGUAAAUACUUAACUAUGGCCUGACUUUGAUGUAAGACAUAGUUUGUCUUAAAACUAUGAAUGUGGUGCUAUAAAGACAGUACCUGUAUUCUGAAUCUGAGUGCAAAAAACAAUGGUUAAUAUGUUAACUUACAUUUCAUUCAAUGUAUUAUAUGUAUUUAAUAAAUAACUUAUUAGGCCUUACUGCUGAAUCUUAAAAUUCAUCUGAACGACUUUGUAGAUAAGAAUAUUACAGAAUGUUUUCUCCCAAAACGUUAAUAUGAAAGACUUACUGCUCAGAGUUUGUAAAUAAUUAUAACCUAACAGUUUUAAAACUGCGAUAUUGUGUUAAAUUAUAAAAUUGAUUAGCAUGUAAAUUCUAGAAAGAAAAUCAAACAUUGUUAAGGGUUCAAGAAAUGAACUCAAAGCAAUGUAUCAAUAAACGAAUGAAUAUUUCAAUAAGUAUUGGUAGGAUAUAUAGUAGUGGUCAUCAAUCAGAAGAAUGAACUUUGCAUAUAUUGCAGUAAAUUCUAGAUGGUCAAACAUUUAAAAAUGUUUAUUGCUCUUCUGUUUGUACAAAAUAUAUAAAACAUAGACGUUUAUAUGUAGGUUUAUUGAAGACUUCUCAGUUAAUGGGCUUGAAUGUAUUGAGGUAGCAUUAUGUCAAGAUUAUUGCAUACUUCCCUAGUUUUAGUUACAAAAUAUGUGACCUUUUCACCCUAUCUCCACUUUCCAAAAUGCAUGGGAACAGUGGAGACCCGGCCUCAGAGGCCUAGAUUCUAACUUGGAAUCUGUCCCGUAGAUGCUGUCCGCACCUGGGCGAGGAGGCCCUCCACAUCCCUGCCUGUCCCCUUCCCUGUCAAAAGUGACAGGGAGGAUCAGAAAAGAGGACAGUGAGACACUCUGUGAACAGCAAAACACUGUGUAUUAUUGUUGUAUGUAGAGGAAAAAAAUGAUUUCUAAGAACAUUUUAGGAAAUGAGAAAGUAGAGGAAUAUGAAGCUCAGAUAUGUUGACAUAUUGUAAAAUAUUUAGAUUCUUUUUCAUUAACACAGUGACUCGAUCAAGUUGUUCCUCCUUCAGGACUUUAGUGUUAUGACCGUUAGUUCCUUUCUCCAUCUGCUGGGGAAUGGGCAAUUAUUGACAGACAGCUAUUAAUGACUGCUAAUAAAGAACAAUAGAUAAACACCUUUCCCCCUCUUUUGGAGUAAUUUUAAAACACAGUAGAUAUUUUAAUCUUUUUAGAACGGAGGAUUAUCAAGCAUUAAUACCAAUGUGAGUUAACCAUGGAAAGCCACCAUAGAAAAUGAAAGCCCUUUUUUCUGUUUUCAACUUAAAAAGUAUAUUGAGCACAUUUUGCCAUUGGAUCUUAGAACAUGAAAACUGAGGUUUCUUUGUUUAUUUUCUUUCGAGAAAUCACUGUGGUUUUCCUUCCCCUCAAAAACUGGAGAAAGCAAGUACUGUCGCUAAGACUGUCUUAGGUCUGUCUGUUACCACAGACUGCUCCACCAUAGGGAAUGCCCACGAGGAAGGGUGGGGUUCGCUUUUCGUUUCUGCUAGCUUUUUAUUUUUCGGAUGGAGAUUUGUUUUGAUUAUUUGGCCUGCUUAUUUCAAGAAGCUAAGCAGCUUGCUUCCUGUUUUCCCCGAUUCUGUUUGGUACUUAAAGGGACUGAGACACUCGGAAUGGCUCCGAAACGGAACAGUUGCUCAUUGUAAACAGAGCAAUUCAAGUGACUAAUUAACUUGGCACGGCGCCUCAGAUGGCUGUGAGCAUUAGCAUGGGCUUUUAAAAAAUGUUUAAGUCAUUAUUACCCCUUGCAAGG
This is a long non-coding RNA of Phyllostomus discolor (pale spear-nosed bat), 3394 nucleotides long. RefSeq lists it as uncharacterized. The transcript is spliced from 2 exons. The record is from RefSeq and is a predicted model, not a curated record. NCBI's taxonomy places the organism in Eukaryota, Metazoa, Chordata, Mammalia, Chiroptera, Phyllostomidae.